This is an RNA transcript of Octopus bimaculoides (California two-spot octopus), 805 nucleotides long. RefSeq lists it as uncharacterized. The record is from RefSeq and is a predicted model, not a curated record. Lineage: Eukaryota; Metazoa; Mollusca; Cephalopoda; Octopoda; Octopodidae.
UUUCUCCGUUGUAGCUGGAACAAGGAAGACGUGUCCUUGUUUGUCGCGUGUCCUAGCUUGAUUUACGUGUUCGCCACCACAGCCUAGUUUAGGCAUAGCAGCCCUUCUUGUUUGUUUUCGCUGUCCUGUUUGUGUUACCUAUUUUGACCCUUCGCAAAAUCACAAAUUUUAAUUAAUUUAUAUAAUUAAAAGAUGAGGAAUUAUGUACAUUAUUUACAUUUGACUGAUAUUUGUACUCAUCUAGUUUGUUGUUAACACGUUUUGACUGAUAUACCCUUCAACCUUCAUCAAGUGUCUUGGGGAAAUUUCAAACCUACGUUCUCAUUUCUAAGGUUUAAGACGUGUAAUAAAAUACAAAAGAAGAAAGGUGGAGGCGCAGGAGUGGCUGUGUGAUUCAACAUGAAUUCUACAGUCUUUCUCAUCAUCUUCGGAAUAUUCAUGAUGUUUGCUUUGACAAUAGGCAUUGAAAAUAAAUGUCGAAGAAGAUGCAUGAGAGAAAAUCUGGGAACUGGAAAUUCGAAAGGGCGCCUCGCUUAUUUGCAAUGUUAUUUUGAUAAUUGUUCAACAUACAAAGUUCACUGAAGAAAAUCAAUAACCAAUAUGCGAUAUUAUAAUCAAUAAUUUUAAAGACAACAUUUAUAUAGAGAACAGAGAAAAGCGAAGAAAUUAUCUCUCGUAAAAACGAAGAAAUUAUCUCUCGUAAAAGCGAAGAAAUUAUCUCUCGUAUAUGAGAUGGGUUUCUAUAUAAAAUUCUGUAUAAAAUUCAUGGUUGUCAUAUUAAAAUAUACCUCGUAAUAUGAAAUAA